UACGGGAGGCAGCAGUGGGGAAUAUUGCACAAUGGGCGCAAGCCUGAUGCAGCCAUGCCGCGUGUAUGAAGAAGGCCUUCGGGUUGUAAAGUACUUUCAGUCGUGAGGAAGGUGUUAAGGUUAAUAACCUUAGCAAUUGACGUUAGCGACAGAAGAAGCACCGGCUAACUCCGUGCCAGCAGCCGCGGUAAUACGGAGGGUGCGAGCGUUAAUCGGAAUUACUGGGCGUAAAGGGCACGCAGGCGGUUAAUUAAGUUGGAUGUGAAAUCCCCGGGCUUAACCUGGGAAUGGCAUUCAAGACUGGUUAGCUAGAGUCUUGUAGAGGGGGUAGAAUUCCAUGUGUAGCGGUGAAAUGCGUAGAGAUGUGGAGGAAUACCGGGUGGCGAAGGCGGCCCCUGGGACAAAGACUGACGCUCAUGUGCGAAAGCGUGGGGAGCGAAACAGGGAUUAGAU
Molecule: ribosomal RNA, 453 nt
Filed under: uncultured bacterium
Lineage: Bacteria
Description: bacterial SSU rRNA
Rfam family: Bacterial small subunit ribosomal RNA
Source: RNAcentral